RNAcentral lists this ribosomal RNA (434 nucleotides) under uncultured Anaerolineaceae bacterium. RNAcentral's name for it is "bacterial SSU rRNA". It matches the Rfam family "Bacterial small subunit ribosomal RNA", at positions 936 to 1382 of the family's 1533-position model. The record is from RNAcentral. Lineage: Bacteria; Bacillati; Chloroflexota; Anaerolineae; Anaerolineales; Anaerolineaceae.
AGGAUGUGGUUUAAUUCGACGCAACGCGAAGAACCUUUACCUAGGCUUUGACAUGCUGGCGAAAACCGUGGAAACACGGUCCUCCCGCAAGGGACGCUAGUACAGGUGGUGCAUGGCUGUCGUCAGCUCGUGUCGUGAGAUGUUCGGUUAAGUCCGCUAACGAGCGCAACCCUCGUCGUAUGUUAUAUGUGUCAUACGAGACUGCCGGUAAAAAGCCGGAGGAAGGUGAGGAUGAUGUCAAGUCAGCAUGACCUUUAUAUCCAGGGCUACACACACGCUACAAUGGUCUGUACAAUGGGUAGCCAAGCCGCGAGGCGGAGCCAAUCCUGAAAGCAGGCCUCAGUUCAGAUUGCAGUCUGCAACUCGACUGCAUGAAGCCGGAAUCGCUAGUAAUCGCAGGUCAGCAUACUGCGGUGAAUACGUUCCCGGGUCUU